AUCCAGAACACCAGAACGGAUCCUUCCCCUCACUGUGAUGCAUCCAGAACAACCAGAACGGAUCCUUCCCCUCACUCUGAUACAUCCAGAACACCCAGAAUGGAUCCUUCCCCUCACUGUGAUGCAUCCAGAACACCCAGAACUUUAUGUCCAAUCUUCAAAAACAAAGAAGACAACAGCUGCCAUUGUUUGUUUUAGCAUGUUGUAGAACAAGCACUGUUCUGAAUGAUAUCAAUUAUAUUUUCUUGUGAUAGAUUCACGUUAAUACAGAAUAAUACAGGUAGAUUACUGGUAAAUAAAUACAGAAUAAUACAGGUAGCCUACUGGCAAAUGAAUACAGAAUAAUACAGGUAGCCUACUGGUAAAUGAAUACAGAAUAAUACAGGUAGCCUACUGGCAAAUGAAUACAGAAUAAUACAGGUAGCCUACUGGUAAAUGAAUACAGAAUAAUACAGGUAGCCUACUGGUAAAUGAAUACAGAAUAAUACAGGUAGCCUACUGGUAAAUGAAUACAGAAUAAUACAGGUAGCCUACUGGUAAAUGAAAUGAAGGUAGCCUACUGAAAUGAAUACAGGUAGCCUACUGGUAAAUGAAUACAGGUAGCCUACUGGUAAAUGAAUACAGAAUAAUACAGGUAGCCUACUGGUAAAUGAAUACAGAAUAAUACAGGUAGCCUACUGGUAAAUUAAUACAGAAUAAUACAGGUAGCCUACUGGUAAAUUAAAGUGUAUCUAUUUGAAAAAGCAGGAGAAGGCUCAAUGUUCAAGACUGUGUUGUGAAUGAUGCUUAUAUUUUUCUCGUUGUGUUUUGUUGGCCUGGGCAUAGCUGGCUAUUGGGCAAUUUGCAUGUAAGUGUAGUACUGUAUUGUACAUUAGGUGAGUUGCUGUUUUUAAUAUUAUAUGAUGAUGUUUAACAAUGAUAAUUAAAUCCAGAAUAGUGGCACUUGGAGUUGUGUACUAUUUUCCAGAUACAUUUAACAUUAGUGUGUACAAUAUUGCCUGUGUGUAUGGUCUGUUUGCUGGGUUAGAGAGGGAAGUAUACUACAGUAAUGGUGUGUAUGGUCUGUUUGCUGGGUUAGAGAGGGAAGUAUACUACAGUAAUGGUUUGUAUGGUCUGUUUGCUGGGUUAGAGAGGGAAGUAUACUACAGUAAUGGUUUGUAUGGUCUGUUUGCUGGGUUAGAGAGGGAAGUAUACUACAGUAAUGGUUUGUAUGGUCUGUUUGCUGGGUUAGAGAGGGAAGUAUACUACAGUAAUGGUUUGUAUGGUCUGUUUGCUGGGUUAGAGAGGGAAGUAUACUACAGUAAUGGUUUGUAUGGUCUGUUUGCUGGGAGAGAGAGGGAAGUAUACUACAGUAAUGGUUUGUAUGGUCUGUUUGCUGGGAGAGAGAGGGAAGUAUACUACAGUACUCAUAAAAUUUGAUUUGAUUUGAUUGUGGUAAACAAACUGGUUAUCUAAAACUAGAACUCCUUGAAAAUAUUCCAGCUGUAUUCAGAUCCAUCAAUGGACAGAUGAGAGAGUCGUUGUGUAAAUGUUGUGUAGGGGAGUGGCUCGUGGGGCUUUGGUCAAAAGUAGUGCACUAUAUAGGGAAUAGGGUUCCAUAGGACUCUGGUCUAAAGUAGUGCACUAUAUAGGGAAUAGGGUUCCAUAGGACUCUGGUCUAAAGUAGUGCACUAUAUAGGGAAUAGGGUUCCAUUUGGAACGUAGGUGUAAUGAAGUGAAAGCAGCGUGUGCUCCAGUUGAGAGUUUAGGUCACCAUAGAAACGCAUUCAUUCAUUCAGGAGUGGUUGGGUGGGUGGGAUAUCUCAAUCAGCGUCCACCUGACAGAACAAACAUGGUUUAGUCAUCAACAUCUGGUGUGUUGCCCUACAUCGCCUGGAUACAGAAAGGAAACAACAAACUGCUACGGUACAAAACAGAUACAUUCACUUUAUUUUCUGUUUCGUGACAGGAUCUCUGAGUCUGAUAUGACCUCGAUACAUCUUGGGGGAUUUCCUGUAAGCAGAUGAUAAAACCAUGCGCUGAUCUAAUUGGAUAAAAAUAAUCAAAUUAAAAAAACACUUGACAGGACGUUCAUUGGAUGUUGGAGAAAAACUCUAUAUUGUGUCAGAUGCUGUCUUUAUGUUACUGACAAAACGCUCAGAAUGCAUAUAGAAUCUCAAGGCCAUCAGAAUGUUAUACAGCCAUCACUAACUAAGAGAGGCAGCUGCCUACAUACAGACUAAUCGGCCACUUUAAAAAAUGGAUCACUAGUCACUUUAAUAAUGCCACUUUAAUAGUGUUUACAUAUCUUGCAUUACUCAUCUCAUAUGUAUAUAUUGUAUUUUAUACCGCCUAUUGCAUCUUGCCUGUGCUGCUCUGUCAUUGCUCAUCCAUAUACAGUAUUUAUAUGUAUAUAUUCUUAUUCCAUUCCUUUACUUAGAUUUGUGUGUAUUAGGUAGUUGUUGUGGAAUUGUUAGAUUCCCUGUUAGAUAUUACUGCACUGUCGGAACUAGAAGCACAAUCAUUUCAUUACACUCGCAAUAUCUGCUAACCAUGUGUAUGUGACCAAUACAUUUUGAUUUGAUUUGAAUGGUUUAGUUUAGUUGAUGAGGAGCAACAUUAGCCGCUGUACAUGCAGAAGCCCUUCCUGUGGUCCACAAAUAGAACUGAACAGAAAUACAAAAAAAAAGUUCACACUUUUUUAGCUGAGCUCUGAAACUAAAAUGUGUGAUAAAUAUCAACAUAGUUAGAAGAGGACCAGCUACCCCCCUAGAGGAGGACCAGCUACCCCCUAGAGGAGGACCAGCUACCCUCUAGAGGAGGACCAGCUACCCCCUAGAGGAGGACCAGCUACCCCCUAGAGGAGGACCAGCUACCUCCCUAGAGGAGGACCAGCUACCCCCUAGAGGAGGACCAGCUACCUCACCAGAGGAGGACCAGCUACCCCCUAGAGGAGAACCAGCUACCUCCCUUAGAGGAGAACCAGCUACCUCCCUAGAGGAGGACCAGCUACCCCCUAGAGGAGAACCAGCUACCUC
Molecule: long non-coding RNA, 3017 nt
Organism: Oncorhynchus tshawytscha (Chinook salmon)
Lineage: Eukaryota; Metazoa; Chordata; Actinopteri; Salmoniformes; Salmonidae
Source: Ensembl